This 3973-nucleotide long non-coding RNA is filed under the name Suricata suricatta (meerkat). RNAcentral describes it as "lncRNA (ENSSSUG00005022504.1)". The record is from RNAcentral. Lineage: Eukaryota; Metazoa; Chordata; Mammalia; Carnivora; Herpestidae.
NNNNNNNNNNNNNNNNNNNNNNNNNNNNNNNNNNNNNNNNNNNNNNNNNNNNNNNNNNNNNNNNNNNNNNNNNNNNNNNNNNNNNNNNNNNNNNNNNNNGCGGGCAUGCCGGGCGGCGGCGGCGGCGGGCCCGCGGCGGCGCUGCGCGAGCAGGAGCGGGUGUACGAGUGGUUUGGGCUGGUGCUGGGCUCGGCGCAGCGCCUGGAGUUCAUGUGCGGGCUGCUGGACCUGUGCAACCCGCUGGAGCUGCGCUUCCUCGGCUCGUGCCUGGAGGACCUGGCGCGCAAGGACUACCACUACCUGCGCGACUCCGAGGCUAAGGCCAACGGCCUCUCGGACCCCGGGCCGCUGGCGGACUUCCGAGAGCCCUCCGUGCGCUCGCGCCUCAUCGUCUACCUGGCGCUGCUGGGCUCGGAGAACCGUGAGGCCGCCGGCCGCCUGCACCGCCUCCUGCCCCAGGUGGACUCGGUGCUCAAGAGUCUGCGCGCGGCUCGGGGCGAGGGUUCGCGGGGCGGCGCGGAGGACGAGCCCGGCGAGCGCGGGGAGGACGGCGAAGGCGAGGAGGACGCAGAGAAGGACGGUUCUGGCCCGGAAGGCAGCGGCGCCGAGUCCCGGCCCGGCGGCGGGCUGGGCUUCAGGGCCCAGGAGGAACUGCUGCUGCUCUUCACCAUGGCUUCGCUGCACCCGGCGUUCUCCUUCCACCAGCGGGUCACCCUGAGGGAGCACCUGGAGAGGCUCCGCGCCGCGCUCCGCGGGGGGCCCGAGGACGCGGAGGCGGAGCCGUGCAACUUUGCCGGCCCCCGGGCCCAGGGUGACGCCGCCCCCGGUGACUUCCCGCAGAGCGAGGAGACCAGCGUGCUAGAGCAAGCCCUGACACCUCGCGACGGCCUUCCUGGGGCGCCGCACAGAGCCCAGCGAGAAGCUGUGCACAUUGAGAAGAUCAUGUUGAAAGGAGUCCAGAGAAAAAGGGCUGACAAAUAUUGGGAGUACACCUUCAAAGUAAAUUGGUCUGAUCUUUCAGUCACAACAGUAACAAAAACCCACCAAGAACUACAGGAAUUUCUACUGAAGCUCCCAAAGGAAGUGUCUUCGGAGACUUUUGAUAAGACCAUCCUAAGAGCCCUGAAUCAGGGUUCACUGAAGAGGGAAGAACGGCGACAUCCUGACCUAGAGCCCAUCCUAAGGCAGCUAUUUUCAACUUCAUCCCAAGCUUUUCUACAGAGUCAGAAAGUGCACAGCUUCUUUCAGUCCAUAUCACCAGACCCUCUGCACAGCCUCAAUAACUUCCAGUCCUCUCUGAAGACUUCAAAAAUAUUAGAACACUUAAAGGAAGACAGCUCAGAAGCUUCAAGUCAAGAAGAAGAUGUGUUACAACACACCGUAAUCCACAAGAAACACACCGGGAAGAGUCCCCUUGUGAACACCAUCGGUACAAGUUGUUCUCCGUUGGAUGGGCUCACUGUGCAGUAUUCUGAGCAGAAUGGAGUUGUGGAUUGGAGGAAGCAGAGCUGCCCCCCUCUUCAGCACCCGGAGCACUGUGUGGCCUUAGCUGACCAGCAUUCAACCGAAAAACGAAGCUUAUCUUCAAUAAAUAAGAAGAAAGGAAAGCCACAAAUAGAAAAGGAGAAAAUUAAGAAAACUGACAACAGAUUGAAUAGUAGAAUAAAUGGGAUCAGAUUGUCUGCUUCUCAGCAUGCCCACGGUGGUUCCGUGAAAGAUGUGAACUUGGAUGUUGGAUCUGGACGUGACACGUGUGGAGAGACCUCUUCAGAGAGCUACAGCUCUCCCUCGAGUCCACGGCAUGAUGGGAGAGAGAGCUUUGAAAGCGAAGAAGAGAAAGACCGAGACACAGACAGCAAUUCUGAGGAUUCUGGGAAUCCGUCAACAACCAGGUUUACGGGCUACGGUUCUGUCAACCAGACCGUCACUGUCAAGCCACCUGUUCAGAUUGCUUCAUUAGGAAGCGACAACGGAGGCCUUUUAGAAGAUGCCCUAAAUGCACCCAAGUAUCAGCAUAUUUCUUUUAUGCCAACUUUACACUGUGUCAUGCACAACGGUGCCCAGAAGUCUGACGUCGGUGUCCCUCCACCCAAGUCCGCUGACGGCAAGACCAUAGGGAUGCUUGUUCCCAGUCCUGUUGCUAUUUCUGCAAUAAGGGAGUCUGCAAACUCUACCCCUGUUGGAGUACUGGGGCCAGCAGCUUCUGCCGGAGAACCCGAGAAACACCUGGAGUUACUGGCUUCCCCUUUGCCUCUUCCGUCAGCGUUCCUCGCACACGGCAGCGCCCCUGCUCUGCACCUGACAAUUCAGAGGCUAAAGUUGCCGCCACCGCAGGGGUCCUCGGAGAGCUGCCCGGUCAACAUCCCACAGCAGCCGCCCGCAAGUCUGAGCAUCGGAUCACCAAACACUGCCUUUCUCCCUGUCCACAGCCCGGGGAGCUUUCCGGGGUCUCCCAUUGCUACCACGGACCCCAUCGCCAAGUCUGCGUCCCCGGUGGUAGGACUCAAUCAAAUGGUGCCUCAACUCGAGGGAAGCACCGGGACAGUCCCUCAGCCCAGCAAUGUGAAGGUUGUUGUCCCCGCAGCCGGCCUCUCGGCUGCACAGCCACCAGCAUCCUACACCCUGCCGGGGCCCCCCCUUGGCACCGGCGCGCUGCCCAGCCAGAGCUCCGGCGCGCUCAGCCCAGCNNNNNNNNNNNNNNNNNNNNNNNNNNNNNNNNNNNNNNNNNNNNNNNNNNNNNNNNCCCCCGCGGUCCCCACCCACACCCCGGGCCCCGCGCCCAGCCCGAGCCCCGCGCUCACCCACAGCACCGCGCAGAGCGACAGCACGUCCUACAUCAGCGCCGUGGGGAACACGAACGCUAACGGGACAGUCCUGCCGCCGCAGCAGAUGGGCUCGGGGCCCUGCGGCUCUUGCGGGCGACGGUGCGGCUGUGGGACCAACGGCAGCCUUCAGCUGAACAGCUACUACUAUCCUAACCCGAUGCCCGGGCCCAUGUACCGGGUCCCGUCCUUCUUCACUCUGCCGUCCCUCUGCAACGGCAGCUACCUCAACCAAGCACAUCAGAGCAAUGGAAACCAACUUCCUUUCUUUCUGCCUCAGACUCCGUAUGCAAACGGACUGGUGCACGACCCCGUCCUGGGGAGCCAAGCCAGCUACGGCAUGCAGCAGAUGGCGGGCUUCGGGAGGUUCUACCCCGUGUACCCAGCGCCCGGCGUGGUUGCCAGUGCGAGCGGUUCGGGGCCCAAGAAGAACGGGAACGUCUCCUGUUACAACUGCGGUGUGAGUGGACACUACGCACAGGAGUGCAAGCAGUCGUCCAUGGAGGCCAGCCCACAAGGCACUUACAGACUGAGAUACGCACCUCCCCUCCCCCCUUCUAAUGAUACGUUGGAUUCUGCAGACUGAACCACGUAAAGCUUGACUGCUUAAUACCCUGACGUGUUGGGGAGUCAUGGUGGGGUGUGGAGGGGAGGAAAGGAAAGGUAUUUUGUGUGUGUUUCUUUGUCUGUACAUUUCCUAGAUUUCUAUGCACUUGGGAUUUUUCAUUUCUGUUGUACUGAUGUCCAAAUCAAAAAAAAUGCAUUGCUUUUGAGCCUCUGGUCUCCUGGUUCAACAACAGGCCUAUCUGUAUGAAACAUGUAAUUUAAACCUCCACACUAUCAAAAGGAACAUGUUUGCUGUGCUUUUUUUUUACACUGAAUACUUGCUGUGUGCAAUGUUUACUGAAUCUUUAAAACUGUGUAUUUGACCUUUUUUUUUUUUUUACAACACUGGUGACAGUCAUAUGGUUUUCAAAAAGAGAAACUGCUCCUUCCCAGCUUUUCUCACUUUCACCCCAAAGGACACACGUCUCCCCGUCACCCCCUCUCCUGUGGCCUGUAAAUCCAGGGUGAAGUGCUUCACCUUCAACUGAGGAGAAAUCAAGUUCCCCAAGUUGUGUGUAUAUAAUAAACAGCAUCCCGUGAAUACA